AGCUUUUCGAAUCCGUGUGGAGAUUUCGUCAGACGCUAACUCAUUUGGGCUGAUCACACUUCCAAGAUAAGUAAAGUU
Schistosoma mattheei is the source of this 78-nucleotide non-coding RNA. The record is from Rfam. Lineage: Eukaryota; Metazoa; Platyhelminthes; Trematoda; Strigeidida; Schistosomatidae.